CCUACGGGAGGCAGCAGUGAGGAAUAUUGGUCAAUGGGCGGAAGCCUGAACCAGCCAAGUAGCGUGCAGGAUGACGGCCCUACGGGUUGUAAACUGCUUUUAUACGGGAAUAACGCGCCUUACGUGUAGGGCUUUGCAUGUACCGUAUGAAUAAGGACCGGCUAAUUCCGUGCCAGCAGCCGCGGUAAUACGGAAGGUACGGGCGUUAUCCGGAUUUAUUGGGUUUAAAGGGAGCGUAGGCCGCAUGUCAAGCGUGCUGUGAAAUGUCCGGGCUCAACCCGGGCCUUGCAGCGCGAACUGGCGUGCUUGAGUCCGCGGAAAGCAGGCGGAAUUCGUCGUGUAGCGGUGAAAUGCUUAGAUAUGACGAAGAACCCCGAUUGCGAAGGCAGCCUGCUGCAGCGGAACUGACGCUGAUGCUCGAAAGCGCGGGUAUCGAACAGGAUUAGAUACCCGAGUAGUC
This 460-nucleotide ribosomal RNA is filed under the name uncultured bacterium. RNAcentral describes it as "partial 16S ribosomal RNA". It matches the Rfam family "Bacterial small subunit ribosomal RNA", at positions 338 to 795 of the family's 1533-position model. The record is from RNAcentral.